This is a long non-coding RNA of Nerophis ophidion (straightnose pipefish), 1887 nucleotides long. RefSeq lists it as uncharacterized. NCBI's taxonomy places the organism in Eukaryota, Metazoa, Chordata, Actinopteri, Syngnathiformes, Syngnathidae. The record is from RefSeq and is a predicted model, not a curated record. The transcript has 3 exons.
UAAAUAGACCUUAUAUAGAACCUGAAUAGACCUUAGUUACAGGACAUGAGAUGCCGUUUGAAGAACCUCGGGUCUGGUGACUUUGGUGAUGGACAGUUUUGAACAUCCGUGAAGAUGAGCAAGAUGAAACGGAAGCGGUUUAAGUCGAGACACGCUUGAGUGGAGGUUUUGUUGACUUUGGAUCACUGUGCUUAAUCCCCGUGUUUAUUCAGGAUUUCAUCUGCUUCUACUUUGAAUUAAGGCGACGUUUGAAAAGAUCAAGCCGCUGCAGGAUCUUCUUGCUCCUGUCGUCUGUGCAGAAGUCGGACAAGACUCUCCUGUGGACCAGAACUACGCCAUUGAGGAGCAGCCAAGACCCGAACCAGAACAGAAGGAAGACCAGCGUACCUCGGCGAGACCACAACCUGAGGCCCAACCAGCGUAGGAAGUAAACCCCGGCGGCCAUGACAGCUGUGACCAGGCCCACCGUCCUCAGACUACAAGAUCUCCAACUGGAAGCAGCUGGCGCCGUAACAGGUCCAACAACAGAAGGCGAUUGAUGCGCGGACAUCUGGACUUAUUGGACGUCCUCCAGAACGACAACCAAAACCAUCCCCAGCUGGCCGUGCUCUCUGGGAAAAAGAAAUCAAAUACUGACAAUUGGAAUGUCCUUUGUGAAAACAAGGCGGACUUAGUUUUCUGGACAAAACCCAAAUUCUUCAGAACUUGUCACACGAGACAAGACCGUUGUCAUUCACUAGCAGCUUUUACGUCUUCAGAUCCAACAGAACUGAUCUCUCUGAUGUCCAAGACAAAUACUUCAGAGAUGAUUCAAGACUUCUGAGGUUUAUAGUUCUGCUGCACAUAUUUGUCUUAACCGUCCAACCAACCCGACACAGUUUCCUUCAGCUUACUACUUUGUGGUCAGGUUUCAGUCCAAAAAGCUGACUGAGGUUCUGGUGCUAGAGCCCGUCACAGAGAUCUCGGGCCCACUUGAUGAAGUGGGACGCCCGAGGGAGAGACAAAUGAGAACCAGGAGGUGUUCUGUUUGGCUCUUACUUGUGUAGCCCCGCAACUUGAGACUGCUCCGAUGCGGUUUUGCUUCACGGAUCAGAGGUGACCCAUGAAGGGUUCUGAGUGUGACUAGAUUGAGGUGACUUGUAGGUACGCCUCAUUCUUCCACCAUCACGCUAACCAUUUCCUUCACAAAGUUCUGUUCAGUCCAAGAGUUUGUCUUCUCGGGUUCAUCAAGUCAAAGCAGGAGAAGAAAAAGUGUCUUCUUCGAGAUCCAAAAGGUGAGCUGCUCUGUCCGCAGAGCUUCUGAUCCAAGGCAGCGUUCUGGAUCAGCGUGCAGGUCCUGAGGAACCGCUUGGCAUUCUUCAAAGUGUCCCAAACACUUUAAACCAUGGGCUGCUUCUGUCGGUCUUCUUGUCAGGACAGGUCUGCAUCGGUUUGCAGCUCUGAAGAUGCACCAGGAGGUCGGCGGUGACUUAAACCCUCAUUGUGGACUGCCAGGCCUCCUUGGACCACUGCGGACGGAAUUUCUUUCCCUCCCCGCCUGCUCCUACUGUGUGUGAAUGUGUGUGUGUGUGUGUGUGUGUGCACGCUCAGGCAUGUCAGCACAGCCUUCCUGCAGUCUUUGCUGCUGCUCUGUGACGCCCCCACAUGGCGGCUGGAGGUUUAACACUCACUAAACAAGUGUGGAUAUGUGUGUGUGGCCGUGGUCUUGGUGGGAGGAACAUCACCCCCCCCCCUCCCAUGAUAACAUAUGCUACUGUACCUCUCUCUUUUAGCCCCUCCUCCUCCGUUACCACGGCAGCACAUCCCCUUCAGCCACAUUAAAGGCCCCCACCCCUUACUUCCGUGCUGUACAUUGGAAAGCUGCCAAUAAAAAUCCGGUUAACAACU